This is a non-coding RNA of Dendrothele bispora CBS 962.96, 84 nucleotides long. NCBI's taxonomy places the organism in Eukaryota, Fungi, Basidiomycota, Agaricomycetes, Agaricales. The record is from the annotation of a GenBank genome assembly.
GGCCUAAUGGUCUAGUAGCAUGAUUCUCGCUUUGGGCUUGAGCCUUGAUGCGAGAGGUCCUGGGUUCAAUUCCCAGUUAGGCCC